AGAAAGGCAGACACCGAAGCUGAGCUUCUUGGCAGGGGAGGACGAAAAUGAGGACCCGCAGUGCCAGCAGCAGCCACCCAUGCACAGUGACUGGGCUUUGCAAGAAGCAGAUGACAGCUCUGCCCUAGAUGAUAGGAUCUUACCAGUAGAUGGAAGACAGGUUAUCUGGAAUCACAGCUCCAGCCUUGGGCAACAGACAAGAGGCAGAGGCCACGGAGGUGACACUGGUAAUUUUGGAGGAGUCAUCUGACCAAGGCUGGAGGUUCUGCAGGGCAAAGAGGGAAG
This is a long non-coding RNA of Pseudophryne corroboree (corroboree frog), 285 nucleotides long. RefSeq lists it as uncharacterized. Lineage: Eukaryota; Metazoa; Chordata; Amphibia; Anura; Myobatrachidae. The record is from RefSeq and is a predicted model, not a curated record. The transcript has 3 exons.